GGGAGCUUGCUCCCUGAUGUUAGCGGCGGACGGGUGAGUAACACGUGGGUAACCUGCCUGUAAGACUGGGAUAACUCCGGGAAACCGGGGCUAAUACCGGAUGGUUGUUUGAACCGCAUGGUUCAGACAUAAAAGGUGGCUUCGGCUACCACUUACAGAUGGACCCGCGGCGCAUUAGCUAGUUGGUGAGGUAACGGCUCACCAAGGCGACGAUGCGUAGCCGACCUGAGAGGGUGAUCGGCCACACUGGGACUGAGACACGGCCCAGACUCCUACGGGAGGCAGCAGUAGGGAAUCUUCCGCAAUGGACGAAAGUCUGACGGAGCAACGCCGCGUGAGUGAUGAAGGUUUUCGGAUCGUAAAGCUCUGUUGUUAGGGAAGAACAAGUGCCGUUCAAAUAGGGCGGCACCUUGACGGUACCUAACCAGAAAGCCACGGCUAACUACGUGCCAGCAGCCGCGGU
Molecule: ribosomal RNA, 463 nt
Filed under: Bacillus subtilis group sp.
Lineage: Bacteria; Bacillati; Bacillota; Bacilli; Caryophanales; Bacillaceae
Description: bacterial SSU rRNA
Rfam family: Bacterial small subunit ribosomal RNA
Source: RNAcentral